This is a small nucleolar RNA of Dipodomys spectabilis (banner-tailed kangaroo rat), 140 nucleotides long. RefSeq annotates it as small nucleolar RNA SNORA29. NCBI's taxonomy places the organism in Eukaryota, Metazoa, Chordata, Mammalia, Rodentia, Heteromyidae. The transcript has a single exon. The record is from RefSeq and is a predicted model, not a curated record.
UUUCCCAUUUGACUACCACAUUUUCUCCUAAAAAUAGACUUUAGUGGCUAUGCUUAUAGAAUACAUUAAAGUUGCCAUGAUCUGAAAGGGAAGGGUUCUGAAGUGUCCUCCUUCUAUAUGAAAUGGCUGAGCAGAAGAAG